UCCUACGGGACGCAGCAGUGAGGAAUAUUGGUCAAUGGACGCAAGUCUGAACCAGCCAUGCCGCGUGCAGGAAGACGGCUCUAUGAGUUGUAAACUGCUUUUGUACGAGGGUAAACGCAGAUACGUGUAUCUGUCUGAAAGUAUCGUACGAAUAAGGAUCGGCUAACUCCGUGCCAGCAGCCGCGGUAAUACGGAGGAUCCGAGCGUUAUCCGGAUUCAUUGGGUUUAAAGGGUGCGUAGGUUGUUUUAUAAGUUAGCGGUGAAAUACCGAUGCUCAACAUCGGGGCUGCCGCUAAUACUGUAGG
RNAcentral lists this ribosomal RNA (305 nucleotides) under uncultured bacterium. Its description in RNAcentral is "bacterial SSU rRNA". It matches the Rfam family "Bacterial small subunit ribosomal RNA", at positions 337 to 639 of the family's 1533-position model. The record is from RNAcentral.